RNAcentral lists this ribosomal RNA (430 nucleotides) under uncultured bacterium. RNAcentral's name for it is "bacterial SSU rRNA". It matches the Rfam family "Bacterial small subunit ribosomal RNA", at positions 355 to 775 of the family's 1533-position model. The record is from RNAcentral.
UGGGGAAUUGUUCGCAAUGGGCGAAAGCCUGACGACGCAACGCCGCGUGGAGGACGAAGAUCUUCGGGUCGUAAACUCCUUUCGAUCGGGACGAAUGGCUGAUGGGUGAAUAGCCCAUCGGAAUGACGGUACCGAGAGAAGAAGCCCCGGCUAACUCCGUGCCAGCAGCCGCGGUAAUACGGGGGGGGCAAGCGUUGUUCGGAAUUACUGGGCGUAAAGGGCGCGUAGGCGGCCUACUAAGUCGGACGUGAAAUCCCUCGGCUCAACCGAGGAACUGCGUCCGAUACUGGCGAGGCUUGAAUUCGGGAGAGGGAUGUGGAAUUCCAGGUGUAGCGGUGAAAUGCGUAGAUAUCUGGAGGAACACCGGUGGCGAAGGCGGCAUCCUGGACCGAGAUUGACGCUGAGGCGCGAAAGCUAGGGUAGCAAACGG